GGGCGGGACCGGCGCGGCGGAAACCUUCGAACCCCGACAGGUCCGAGAGGAAGCAUCGGUAAGGAGGCCCUUCCGGGCGCCGCCGGCAAACCUGCCCGGU
Longilinea arvoryzae is the source of this 100-nucleotide non-coding RNA. It matches the Rfam family "Bacterial small signal recognition particle RNA". Rfam says of the family: The signal recognition particle (SRP) is a universally conserved ribonucleoprotein involved in the co-translational targeting of proteins to membranes. Archaeal SRP consists of a 7S RNA and homologues of the eukaryotic SRP19 and SRP54 proteins. In most bacteria, the SRP consists of a 4.5S RNA and the Ffh protein (a homologue of the eukaryotic SRP54 protein). The record is from Rfam. NCBI's taxonomy places the organism in Bacteria, Bacillati, Chloroflexota, Anaerolineae, Anaerolineales, Anaerolineaceae.